Molecule: small RNA, 763 nt
Filed under: Pongo abelii (Sumatran orangutan)
Lineage: Eukaryota; Metazoa; Chordata; Mammalia; Primates; Hominidae
Description: processed transcript
Source: RNAcentral
GUUGUGAUGUUGUGCUUGGGAAGACAAAGUAAAAAGGAGAAAAGGAAAAGCUUUUAUAUGAAAAUAAACAAUUUGAGAAGAUUGCUGAAGAAUUAAAAGGAACAGAACAAGAACUAAUUGGUCUUCUCCAAGCCAGAGAGAAAGAAGUACAUGAUUUGGAAAUACAGUUAACUGCCGUUACCACAAGUGAACAGUAUUAUUCAAAAGAGGUUAAAGAUCUGAAAACUCAGCUUGAAAAUGAGAAGCUUAAGAAUACUGAAUUAACUUCACACUGCAACAAGCUUUCACUAGAAAACAAAGAGCUCACACAGGAAACAAGUGAUAUGACCCUAGAACUCAAGAAUCAGCAAGAAGAUAUUAAUAAAUGAACUGGAAUAUGUGAGAGAAGAGCUAAAACAGAAAAGAGAUGAAGUUAAAUGUAAAUUGGACAAGAGUGAAGAAAAUUGUAACAAUUUAAGGAAACAAGUUGAAAAUAAAAACAAGUAUAUUGAAGAACUUCAGCAGGAGAAUAAGGCCUUGAAAAAAAAAGGUACAGCAGAAAGCAAGCAACUGAAUGUUUAUGAGAUAAAGGUCAAUAAAUUAGAGUUAGAACUAGAAAGUGCCAAACAGAAAUGUGGAGAAAUCACGGACACUUAUCAGAAAGAAAUUGAGGACAAAAAGAUAUCAGAAGAAAAUCUUUUGGAAGAGGUUGAGAAAGCAAAAGUAAUAGCUGAUGAAGCAGUAAAAUUACAGAAAGAAAUUGAUAAACGAUGUCAACAUAAAA